UUUCCAGGCAGUUCAGUUUACGGCCUUAAACUGAAUUGUUCUUUUUCGUAUUAUGAGGGUCCAAAUUCAAACCGUAUUCUGCCUGGAUAGUUUGUCUCUGGCUGGUUAGUGGAUUUUCUCGCGCUGCGUUCGGAUACGCAUACAUUCGUUGCAACGUUAAGUUGAGUUUUUGUGUGUCACUUUUUGGACAAAAUAUUAAUUAAAUAAAUGUAAAUUAAAUAUAGAAAACAGUAAUUAAGAUACAAUGGUAGAAUUUGUGUAAUAUACAAAAAUAUUCCAGACAGUUUUAUUGUCUUUUUUAAUAAUUCGGAUUUAUUUGUAAAAAAUAUUUUCAUUGUAAUAUCCAAACGAACUUUGUGCAUCUACUUAAAAUUCCGCGCAAAGUACUUAAUUCUGAUUUUAAUGUACAAUUUGAAACUUAGCCUUUCCAUGACUUUAUACGCAAGUUAAAUUUAAUAAUUCAAUUAUUGUGAAAAAUAUACCUAAUGUAACAUCACGGACUGAAACCCCUGGCCAACGUCGUGUAUCGUACCGGUAAUUUAAAAUUAUAUGGGAUUUUUAAAAUCCCAUAGGGAAAUGGCAAGUGGCUUUAAUAAGUCCGCCCAAGAAUACCAUACCAAUCGCUUGUGUGAGGACGUCGCUCAACAAUUAAACUCCUUAGGAAAAGGGGGUUUUAAAGACUGGAAAGGAUUGUCAAGUUUAAGUGUUAUAAGAUUAAUUACAUAGUUGAAGAUUAUUUGAAACAUAAGAGAAUAAUUAAUGGAU
Molecule: long non-coding RNA, 765 nt
Organism: Achroia grisella
Lineage: Eukaryota; Metazoa; Arthropoda; Insecta; Lepidoptera; Pyralidae
Exons: 3
Source: RefSeq, a predicted model, not a curated record